UACGUAGGGUGCAAGCGUUGUCCGGAAUUAUUGGGCGUAAAGAGCUCGUAGGCGGCGUGUCACGUCGGAUGUGAAAGCCCAUGGCUUAACUGUGGGUCUGCACUCGAUACGGGCAGGCUGGAGUUCGGUAGGGGAGAUCGGAAUUCCUGGUGUAGCGGUGAAAUGCGCAGAUAUCAGGAGGAACACCGGUGGCGAAGGCGGAUCUCUGGGCCGAUACUGACGCUGAGGAGCGAAAGCGUGGGGAGCGAACAGG
This 253-nucleotide ribosomal RNA is filed under the name uncultured bacterium. RNAcentral describes it as "partial 16S ribosomal RNA". It matches the Rfam family "Bacterial small subunit ribosomal RNA", at positions 524 to 776 of the family's 1533-position model. The record is from RNAcentral.